Non-coding RNA from Picea glauca (white spruce), 121 nucleotides. The record is from Rfam. NCBI's taxonomy places the organism in Eukaryota, Viridiplantae, Streptophyta, Pinopsida, Pinales, Pinaceae.
ACAUGCAUACAAGAUAGCGUUAAUGCAUCGGAUCCCAUUCUAACUUCCCAGUUAAACGUGCUAAGGAUAGAGUAGUACUAGGAUGGGUGAUCGCCUGGGAAGUCCUAGUGUUUUACAUGCC